AGUCUGUGAUGUAUUUUAAAUGUAAGAGUAGUGGACAGAAGUGAUUUCUGACAAAUGUUACACUGAGACU
Molecule: small nucleolar RNA, 70 nt
Organism: Phyllopteryx taeniolatus (common seadragon)
Lineage: Eukaryota; Metazoa; Chordata; Actinopteri; Syngnathiformes; Syngnathidae
Product: small nucleolar RNA SNORD75
Exons: 1
Source: RefSeq, a predicted model, not a curated record